CUCGUAGGCGGCCAACUAAGUCGGACGUGAAAUCCCCAGGCUCAACCUGGGAACUGCGUCCGAUACUGGAUGGCUUGAAUCCGGGGAGAGGGAUGCAGAAUUCCAGGUGUAGCGGUGAAAUGCGUAGAUAUCUGGAGGAAUACCGGUGGCGAAGGCGGCAUCCUGGACCGGCAUUGACGCUGAGGAGCGAAAGCCAGGGGGAAGCAAACG
This 210-nucleotide ribosomal RNA is filed under the name uncultured bacterium. RNAcentral describes it as "partial 16S ribosomal RNA". It matches the Rfam family "Bacterial small subunit ribosomal RNA", at positions 568 to 774 of the family's 1533-position model. The record is from RNAcentral.